CAAGAAAAUUACCGAGUGUAGGGUUCCUAGCGAGCCCAACCUCCCACCCGUGUUUACUGAACCUUAGUUGCUUCGGCGGGCCCGCAUACCUGGCCGCCGGGGGCUCUCAGCCCCGGGCCCGCGCCCGCCGGAGACACCACGAACUCUGUCUGAUCUAGUGAAGUCUGAGUUGAUUGUAUCGCAAUCAGUUAAAACUUUCAACAAUGGAUCUCUUGGUUCGGCAUCGAUGAAGAACGCAGCGAAAUGCGAUAACUAGUGUGAAUUGCAGAAUUCCGUGAAUCAUCGAGUCUUUGAACGCACAUUGCGCCCCCUGGUAUUCCGGGGGGCAUGCCUGUCCGAGCGUCAUUGCUGCCCAUCAAGCACGGCUUGUGUGUUGGGUCGUCGUCCCCUCUGCGGGGGGGACGGGCCCCAAAGGCAGCGGCGGCACCGCGUCCGAUCCUCGAGCGUAUGGGGCUUUGUCACCCGCUCUGUAGGCCCGGCCGGCGCUUGCCGAACGCAAAUCAAUCUUUUCCAGGUUGACCUCGGAUCAGGUAGGGAUACCCGCUGAACUUAAGCAUAUC
RNAcentral lists this ribosomal RNA (560 nucleotides) under Aspergillus flavus. Its description in RNAcentral is "eukaryotic LSU rRNA". The stretch from base 193 to 345 matches the Rfam family "5.8S ribosomal RNA". Lineage: Eukaryota; Fungi; Ascomycota; Eurotiomycetes; Eurotiales; Aspergillaceae. The record is from RNAcentral.